UAAUCUACUGGAUUGUUAAACAGUUACUUGGAUAACUGAGGUAAUUCUUGAGCUAAUACAUGCGAAAAACCCCGACUUUACGAAGGGGUGCUUUUAUUAGAUCAAAACCAAACAUCGCAAGAUGUAAUUUGGUGACUCUGGAUAACUUUGGCUGAUCGCAUUGCCUUGUGCAGGCGACAUUUCCUUCGAAGGUGUGCCCUAUCAACUGUCGACUGUGAUAUAGACGCUCACAGUGGUUUUGACGGGUAACGGGGAAUCAGGGUUCGAUUCCGGAGAGGGAGCCUUAAAAACGGCUACCACAUCCAAGGAAGGCAGCAGGCACGCAAAUUACCCAAUGAACGCAGUUCGAGGUAGUGACGAAAAAUAACAAUACCAGACUCUUCCGAGGCCUGGUAAUUGGAAUGAGUACACUUUAAAACCGUUCCCGAGGAUCUAUUGGAGGGCAAGUCUGGUGCCAGCAGCCGCGGUAAUUCCAGCUCCAAUAGCGUAUAUUAAUGUUGUGUGGUUAAAAAGCUCGUAGUUGGAUUUCGGCGGGUAUUGGCCGGUUUGAAUUGUUUCAAUACUGGUUAUAUUGCCCGUGUGUAUUGCC
RNAcentral lists this ribosomal RNA (589 nucleotides) under Centropages bradyi. RNAcentral's name for it is "bacterial SSU rRNA". It matches the Rfam family "Eukaryotic small subunit ribosomal RNA", at positions 113 to 702 of the family's 1831-position model. Lineage: Eukaryota; Metazoa; Arthropoda; Copepoda; Calanoida; Centropagidae. The record is from RNAcentral.